Molecule: ribosomal RNA, 700 nt
Filed under: uncultured beta proteobacterium
Lineage: Bacteria; Pseudomonadati; Pseudomonadota; Betaproteobacteria
Description: bacterial SSU rRNA
Rfam family: Bacterial small subunit ribosomal RNA
Source: RNAcentral
CGAACGGCAGCACGGGGGCAACCCUGGUGGCGAGUGGCGAACGGGUGAGUAAUACAUCGGAACGUGCCCAGUCGUGGGGGAUAACGUAGCGAAAGUUACGCUAAUACCGCAUACGAUCUACGGAUGAAAGCGGGGGAUCGCAAGACCUCGCGCGAUUGGAGCGGCCGAUGUCAGAUUAGGUAGUUGGUGGGGUAAAGGCUCACCAAGCCGACGAUCUGUAGCUGGUCUGAGAGGACGACCAGCCACACUGGGACUGAGACACGGCCCAGACUCCUACGGGAGGCAGCAGUGGGGAAUUUUGGACAAUGGGCGAAAGCCUGAUCCAGCCAUUCCGCGUGCAGGAUGAAGGCCCUCGGGUUGUAAACUGCUUUUGUACGGAACGAAACGGCGCUUUCUAAUACAAGGCGCUAAUGACGGUACCGUAAGAAUAAGCACCGGCUAACUACGUGCCAGCAGCCGCGGUAAUACGUAGGGUGCAAGCGUUAAUCGGAAUUACUGGGCGUAAAGCGUGCGCAGGCGGUCUUGUAAGACAGAUGUGAAAUCCCCGGGCUCAACCUGGGAACUGCAUUUGUGACUGCAAGGCUAGAGUACGGUAGAGGGGGAUGGAAUUCCGCGUGUAGCAGUGAAAUGCGUAGAUAUGCGGAGGAACACCGAUGGCGAAGGCAAUCCCCUGGACCUGUACUGACGCUCAUGCACGAAA